This 253-nucleotide ribosomal RNA is filed under the name uncultured bacterium. RNAcentral describes it as "partial 16S ribosomal RNA". It matches the Rfam family "Bacterial small subunit ribosomal RNA", at positions 524 to 776 of the family's 1533-position model. The record is from RNAcentral.
UACAGAGGGCGCGAGCGUUAAUCGGAGUUACUGGGCGUAAAGCGCACGUAGGUGGCGACGUAAGUCGGGUGUGAAAGCCCCGGGCUCAACCUGGGAACUGCAUUCGAGAUUGCAUUGCUGUAGUACGGAAGAGGAGGGCGGAAUUCCCGGUGUAGCGGUGAAAUGCGUAGAUAUCGGGAGGAACAUCAGUGGCGAAGGCGGCCCUCUGGUCCAGUACUGACACUCAAGUGCGAAAGCGUGGGGAGCAGACAGG